GAUAAACGCUGGCGGCGUGCCUAAUACAUGCAAGUCGAGCGAACGGACGAGAAGCUUGCUUCUCUGAUGUUAGCGGCGGACGGGUGAGUAACACGUGGAUAACCUACCUAUAAGACUGGGAUAACUUCGGGAAACCGGAGCUAAUACCGGAUAAUAUUUUGAACCGCAUGGUUCAAAAGUGAAAGACGGUCUUGCUGUCACUUAUAGAUGGAUCCGCGCUGCAUUAGCUAGUUGGUAAGGUAACGGCUUACCAAGGCAACGAUGCAUAGCCGACCUGAGAGGGUGAUCGGCCACACUGGAACUGAGACACGGUCCAGACUCCUACGGGAGGCAGCAGUAGGGAAUCUUCCGCAAUGGGCGAAAGCCUGACGGAGCAACGCCGCGUGGGUGAUGAAGGUCUUCGGAUCGUAAAACUCUGUUAUUAGGGAAGAACAUAUGUGUAAGUAACUGUGCACAUCUUGACGGUACCUAAUCAGAAAGCCACGGCUAACUACGUGCCAGCAGCCGCGGUAAUACGUAGGUGGCAAGCGUUAUCCGGAAUUAUUGGGCGUAAAGCGCGCGUAGGCGGUUUUUUAAGUCUGAUGUGAAAGCCCACGGCUCAACCGUGGAGGGUCAUUGGAAACUGGAAAACUUGAGUGCAGAAGAGGAAAGUGGAAUUCCAUGUGUAGCGGUGAAAUGCGCAGAGAUAUGGAGGUACACCAGUGGCGAAGGCGACUUUCUGGUCUGUAACUGACGCUGAUGUGCGAAAGCGUGGGGAUCAAACAGGAUUAGAUACCCUGGUAGUCCACGCCGUAAACGAUGAGUGCUAAGUGUUAGGGGGUUUCCGCCCCUUAGUGCUGCAGCUAACGCAUUAAGCACUCCGCCUGGGGAGUACGACCGCAAGGUUGAAACUCAAAGGAAUUGACGGGGACCCGCACAAGCGGUGGAGCAUGUGGUUUAAUUCGAAGCAACGCGAAGAACCUUACCAAAUCUUGACAUCCUUUGACAACUCUAGAGAUAGAGCCUUCCCCUUCGGGGGACAAAGUGACAGGUGGUGCAUGGUUGUCGUCAGCUCGUGUCGUGAGAUGUUGGGUUAAGUCCCGCAACGAGCGCAACCCUUAAGCUUAGUUGCCAUCAUUAAGUUGGGCACUCUAAGUUGACUGCCGGUGACAAACCGGAGGAAGGUGGGGAUGACGUCAAAUCAUCAUGCCCCUUAUGAUUUGGGCUACACACGUGCUACAAUGGACAAUACAAAGGGCAGCGAAACCGCGAGGUCAAGCAAAUCCCAUAAAGUUGUUCUCAGUUAGGAUUGUAGUCUGCAACUCGACUACAUGAAGCUGGAAUCGCUAGUAAUCGUAGAUCAGCAUGCUACGGUGAAUACGUUCCCGGGUCU
RNAcentral lists this ribosomal RNA (1372 nucleotides) under uncultured bacterium. RNAcentral's name for it is "bacterial SSU rRNA". It matches the Rfam family "Bacterial small subunit ribosomal RNA", at positions 28 to 1381 of the family's 1533-position model. The record is from RNAcentral.